AUCCAGUUGACGAGUCUCAAAUGGGACGAAAUGCGCAUCCUGGCUGGAU
This is a non-coding RNA of Trichobilharzia regenti, 49 nucleotides long. The record is from Rfam. NCBI's taxonomy places the organism in Eukaryota, Metazoa, Platyhelminthes, Trematoda, Strigeidida, Schistosomatidae.